Non-coding RNA from Pelobates cultripes (western spadefoot toad), 358 nucleotides. The record is from the annotation of a GenBank genome assembly. Lineage: Eukaryota; Metazoa; Chordata; Amphibia; Anura; Pelobatidae.
GGACUUUGGAGGGUGUUUGUGGGGCGCAGGAGUCGAAGUCCCUGUGCCAAUGCAGAUGCCUUGUAGUAAGUCUAGAUAUCUGGCAUGUUCAAUCCCCCACUUGUACAUGGGAGUCCUAGAGUACCCUUUGCCACUCUCAGGGGUUUCCGCUUCCACACAUGUGCGUUUAUUGUGCUUUGAAAGAGAUUUAGUAGUUUGUUUGGUAGAGCGAUGAGCAGGGUUCGGAACAGGUACAAUAUAUGCGGCAGUGCCAUCAUUUUCACAAGAUUGAUGCGGCCUAACCAGGACACCUCAAGCCCCUCCCACUUCGAGUGUGGCAUUAAGUUUUUGUAUGACCGGGUAAUGGUUUUCCCGUGUG